Non-coding RNA from Podarcis lilfordi (Lilford's wall lizard), 1014 nucleotides. NCBI's taxonomy places the organism in Eukaryota, Metazoa, Chordata, Lepidosauria, Squamata, Lacertidae. The record is from the annotation of a GenBank genome assembly.
CGCGUCCCUUUGCUUCAGAGUAGGUACUGAUAUUUACUUAUUUUUAUUCAACCAGAUUUACGUACAGCUUAAUAAACAAGCAAACCAAUCUCUAAGCAUCUUGCAAUGAAACAGUAUAAAUGUUCGAUUUUUUAAAACAGCAACGAAAACUGUAAAUAUAGGACUGAAUCCAACCAAGUUAUUACUCAGAGCAGAACUGUCGCAUCCAAGCUGAGCCAGACUCAAAGUAGACCCACUGAAAUGAAUGGACGUGUGUCGCUAACUGAGGUCCAUUCAUUUAUUCUGUGAGUUGAAUUAAUGCUGGAUGCAAUCCAUUAAAACCAUUAAAAUAUCAGAUAAAUAAACAGCCUUUAUUGCUGCUGUUUUUGGGGCCCCCCCCCCUUCUAGUAAUGCCCCAACACAGUCAUUUUGACAGGGGUCACAGGUCAGCUGCUAGGCACGCAGAAUGAAAUUGCCCCCAUCCUGAAACCUUGGAAAGCCAGCGCCGGUCAGAGGAGGGUGGAUUAACGUCCUGACUCAACACAAGACAGCUUCAUAUUGAAACCAGCCUAUCAUUUAUAGCCAUGUGGAAGACACAAGAGCUUCCCACACUGGAGGAAUGGCAGAUGAAACUGAUGGACUAUAUGGAACUGGCGGAAAUGGCUGGCAGAAUCCGUGACCAGGGAGAAGAGUCGGUGGAGGAAGAUUGGAAGAAAUUCAAAGACUAUCUGCAGAAACAUUGCAAAAUUAAAGAAUGUUAGAGUGAUGUUGGAUUGAAAACAAGUGGCUUCCAGCUGUACAGGAUUUAAAGUUAUAGAUAGAUUAAGAUUAAGGAUUAGAAUUAAAAAAGUUUAAGGAAAUGGAAACUUGGUUUUUAAGAGGUAAAAUUUUAAUGUUAUAUUAUAUUAAGAUUAAAGAUUGGGAUUAAAAAAGAGGGAAAGAAAUUGCUGGACAAACAAUUUGAACUGGAAUACAAAAGAGGGAGGUAUGAGGAGGUCCAGAAAAUAAGUAAAUUUAAAAAUGGAGAUGAAAAGG